UACGUAGGCAGCGAGCGUUGUUCGGAAUUACUGGGCGUAAAGAGUGUGUAGGCGGUGCUCCCAGUCUGUUGUGAAAUCUCCCGGCUUAACUGGGAGGGUGCAGCGGAAACUAGAGUGCUAGAGGGUGGGAGAGGUAAGCGGAAUUCCUGGUGUAGCGGUGAAAUGCGCAGAUAUCAGGAAGAACACCCGUGGCGAAGGCGGCUCUCUGGGACGGUACUGACGCUGAGACGCGAAAGCGUGGGGAGCGAACAGG
Molecule: ribosomal RNA, 253 nt
Filed under: uncultured bacterium
Lineage: Bacteria
Description: partial 16S ribosomal RNA
Rfam family: Bacterial small subunit ribosomal RNA
Source: RNAcentral